GGUUUCCGUAGGUGAACCUGCGGAGGAUCAUUAACACGUAUCCAACGUUAAAACAACCCCCGUGAACUUUCAGCUUGCUGUGAAAACAGCAAUCCCUGGUAAAUCAUUGUUGACCAGCUUUUGAGUCAGGGACCUCUGCCGAUUGUGAUAUUUCAUAGCUACGGUUGAGCGAUUGCAUCUAGUGACCUGGCAUCCCCAAGUAAUCAGUGUCUGAAAGUGUCAUUGAUUAUGUAAGGAUGGCUCGCUGUAGGCCCACACGGCCGGCCCCUUUACGACAACACAGUACGAAUUGGCCGCGCGUGAAAUUCGCACGGCACCAAAAACCGAACAACUGUUAACAAUGGAUAUCUUGGUUCUC
This 358-nucleotide unclassified non-coding RNA is filed under the name fungal sp. RNAcentral's name for it is "partial internal transcribed spacer region". The record is from RNAcentral. Lineage: Eukaryota; Fungi.